Molecule: ribosomal RNA, 382 nt
Filed under: uncultured organism
Description: bacterial SSU rRNA
Rfam family: Bacterial small subunit ribosomal RNA
Source: RNAcentral
CGCAAUGGGCGAAAGCCUGACGGAGCGACACCGCGUGAUGGAUGAAGUGCUUCGGUAUGUAAACAUCUUUUAUAGGGGAAGAAGUAUAUUGACAGUACCCUAUGAAUAAGGACCUGCCAAACUCGUGCCAGCAGCAGCGGUAAUACUAGUGGUCCAAGCGUUAUCCGGAAUUAUUGGGCGUAAAGCGUGCGUAGGUGGAAUUAUUAUUCGAUUGUUUAACCCACGGGCUCAACCUGUGGAUUGCAAUCAAAACGGUAGUUCUUGAGGAAGUGAGAGGUUUGCGGAACUCAUAGAGUAGGGGUGAAAUCCGUUGAUAUUAUGGGGAACACCAAAAGCGAAGGCAGCAAACUAACACUCUCCUGACACUGAGGCACGAAAGCGU